RNAcentral lists this ribosomal RNA (271 nucleotides) under uncultured prokaryote. Its description in RNAcentral is "partial 16S ribosomal RNA". It matches the Rfam family "Bacterial small subunit ribosomal RNA", at positions 524 to 794 of the family's 1533-position model. The record is from RNAcentral.
UACGUAGGUGGCAAGCGUUGUCCGGAAUUAUUGGGCGUAAAGCGCGCGCAGGCGGUCCUUUAAGUCUGAUGUGAAAGCCCACGGCUCAACCGUGGAGGGUCAUUGGAAACUGGGGGACUUGAGUGCAGAAGAGGGAAGUGGAAUUCUAUGUGUAGCGGUGAAAUGCGUAGAGAUAUGGAGGAACACCAGUGGCGAAGGCGGCUUCCUGGUCUGUAACCGACACUGAGGCGCGAAAGCGUGGGGAGCAAACAGGAUUAGAUACCCGUGUAGU